RNAcentral lists this ribosomal RNA (253 nucleotides) under uncultured bacterium. RNAcentral's name for it is "partial 16S ribosomal RNA". It matches the Rfam family "Bacterial small subunit ribosomal RNA", at positions 524 to 776 of the family's 1533-position model. The record is from RNAcentral.
UACGUAGGGGGCAAGCGUUGUCCGGAAUCAUUGGGCGUAAAGAGCGCGUAGGCGGUCCGGUAAGUCCGCUCUGAAAGCCCGGGGCUCAACCCCGGGAGGCGGGCGGAUACUGUCGGGCUAGAGUCCGGAAGAGGCGAGUGGAAUUCCUGGUGUAGCGGUGAAAUGCGCAGAUAUCAGGAGGAACACCGGUGGCGAAGGCGGGUCUCUGGGCCGAUAUUGACGCUGAGGAGCGAAAGCGUGGGGAGCAAACAGG